Molecule: ribosomal RNA, 468 nt
Filed under: uncultured bacterium
Lineage: Bacteria
Description: partial 16S ribosomal RNA
Rfam family: Bacterial small subunit ribosomal RNA
Source: RNAcentral
GACGAACGCUGGCGGCGUGCUUAACACAUGCAAGUCGAACGGAAAGGCCCUGCUUUUGUGGGGUGCUCGAGUGGCGAACGGGUGAGUAACACGUGAGUAACCUGCCCUUGACUUUGGGAUAACUUCAGGAAACUGGGGCUAAUACCGGAUAGGAGCUCCUGCUGCAUGGUGGGGGUUGGAAAGUUUCGGCGGUUGGGGAUGGACUCGCGGCUUAUCAGCUUGUUGGUGGGGUGGUGGCUUACCAAGGCUUUGACGGGUAGCCGGCCUGAGAGGGUGACCGGCCACAUUGGGACUGAGAUACGGCACAGACUCCUACGGGAGGCAGCAGUGGGGAAUAUUGCACAAUGGGCGGAAGCCUGAUGCAGCAACGCCGCGUGCGGGAUGACGGCCUUCGGGUUGUAAACCGCUUUCGCCUGUGACGAAGCGUGAGUGACGGUAAUGGGUAAAGAAGCACCGGCUAACUACGUG